AAAACAAAUGGAAAAACAAAUGUUUAACAUGAAUUUAUUUGAAUGAAAAUAUCAUUGCACAAAAUGUUGCCAACAAUGUCAUCACUUCUCCUUUUGGCAUGGGAGAAGGGUUUUUAAACAAAGUGAUUGUUACUCUGACUUAUGAACAACUGUAGGAACGCCCACAGUGACCCAAUUGUGACAGACACCACCAGGAAUGAUGAAAUUGU
RNAcentral lists this long non-coding RNA (209 nucleotides) under Lathyrus oleraceus (garden pea). RNAcentral's name for it is "Pisum sativum (pea) long non-coding RNA (PSAT_LNC010715)". Lineage: Eukaryota; Viridiplantae; Streptophyta; Magnoliopsida; Fabales; Fabaceae. The record is from RNAcentral.